CCUUCUUAUCCGCCUGGCCCCUGUCUGCUCGGUUUUGGGUUGGGGUGACCGCGGAGCAUAAAAUAGCCUCCACGAAAGAAGGGAUGAUUCCCUCAUUUUAGAACUACACUUCCAAAGACUAACAAAUUAAUUUUAAGUGAUCCGAUACCCGUAUUCGAUCAACGAACCAAGUUACCCUGGGGAUAACAGCGCAAUCUACCUCAAGAGCCCCUAUCGACAGGUGGGUUUACGACCUCGAUGUUGGAUCAGGGUAUCCCAGUGGUGCAGCAGCUACCAAAGGUUCGUUUGUU
Molecule: ribosomal RNA, 290 nt
Filed under: Boophis reticulatus
Lineage: Eukaryota; Metazoa; Chordata; Amphibia; Anura; Mantellidae
Description: partial 16S ribosomal RNA
Rfam family: Bacterial large subunit ribosomal RNA
Source: RNAcentral